CCUACGGGAGGCAGCAGUGGGGAAUUUUGGACAAUGGGGGCAACCCUGAUCCAGCCAUUCCGCGUGAGUGAAGAAGGCCUUCGGGUUGUAAAGCUCUUUCGCAAGGGAAGAAAACUUAUGGUCGAAUAAAUCAUGAGGUUGACGGUACCUUGAUAAGAAGCACCGGCUAACUACGUGCCAGCAGCCGCGGUAAUACGUAGGGUGCGAGCGUUAAUCGGAAUUACUGGGCGUAAAGCGUGCGCAGGCGGUUUUGUAAGUCGGAUGUGAAAUCCCCGGGCUCAACCUGGGAACUGCGUUCGAAACUGCAAGGCUAGAGUGUGUCAGAGGGGGGUAGAAUUCCACGUGUAGCAGUGAAAUGCGUAGAGAUGUGGAGGAAUACCAAUGGCGAAGGCAGCCUCCUGGGAUAACACUGACGCUCAUGCACGAAAGCGUGGGGAGCAAACAGGAUUAGAUACCCUGGUAGUCCACGCCCUAAACGAUGUCAACUAGUUGUUGGUAGAGUAAAAUCUAUGAGUAACGUAGCUAACGCGUGAAGUUGACCGCCUGGGGGAGGUACGGUCGCGAGAUUAAACGUUAAAGUAAGUAGACGNGAGAGCGAGACGACGACGAGGAGAGGAG
RNAcentral lists this ribosomal RNA (618 nucleotides) under uncultured bacterium. RNAcentral's name for it is "bacterial SSU rRNA". It matches the Rfam family "Bacterial small subunit ribosomal RNA", at positions 338 to 944 of the family's 1533-position model. The record is from RNAcentral.